RNAcentral lists this long non-coding RNA (568 nucleotides) under Sinocyclocheilus anshuiensis. RNAcentral describes it as "lncRNA (ENSSANG00000050405.1)". The record is from RNAcentral. Lineage: Eukaryota; Metazoa; Chordata; Actinopteri; Cypriniformes; Cyprinidae.
ACUGUUCAUUCUCUGUGCCUAUUAGAGCUCUUUAUUUUGACUCCUCCCACAAUCUGCUUUCUGAUUGGCAGAUACCCACAUUGUGAACUUUGGCCUGAGUCUGCAGACGCUGUUAUAUCAAUAUAAUGGUGCGCAUUUGACAUGUGAUUAUAUCUUUUUUCAUUGUUAUUCGAAUCAUUGUUUUGUAACAUCUUACGGCAUACCUAUGUAUUAGUUUUGUUUUCUCUUUUAACUAUGUACAAAUUUACCAGAAAUAUUUAUUUAUAAUGCUGAAGAGUAAUUCAUUUUCAUUCUUUUUUUUAUUUUUAUACGUUUUGAACCUUUUUUUUUAAGAAGGAAAAAAAUCCCUCUAUCCGAGAGACGCAGGGUUUUUUUCCCCAUAGGUGAGUUCAAGACCACGAUCUGUGAGCGAUUCAGCAGUCGGGACCCGCAAACACACGUGAUCUCAUACAGGCACUGUCCUGGGAGGUGUCCACACGUCAUCUCAUGUUCCCAGCAUGGAGAGGAGUACAUUCAAAUGACAUUGUAUUUAUUAAAUAUUGUUUUAACAUAAACUUGACUCCUCCUG